RNAcentral lists this ribosomal RNA (561 nucleotides) under Pseudocheilinus ocellatus (whitebarred wrasse). RNAcentral describes it as "partial 16S ribosomal RNA". It matches the Rfam family "Bacterial large subunit ribosomal RNA", at positions 1846 to 2607 of the family's 2925-position model. The record is from RNAcentral. Lineage: Eukaryota; Metazoa; Chordata; Actinopteri; Labriformes; Labridae.
UAGAGGUCCGCCUGCCCGUGACUACAUGUUUAACGGCCGCGGUAUUUUGACCGUGCAAAGGUAGCGCAAUCACUUGUCUUUUAAAUGGAGACCCGUAUGAAUGGCAUUACGAGGGCUUAACUGUCUCCCUUUUCAAGUCAAUGAAAUUGAUCCCCCCGUGCAGAAGCGGGGAUUUCCCCACAAGACGAGAAGACCCUAUGAAGCUUUAGACACCAAGGUGGACCACGCCAGAAACCCUCCCAUAAGAGAAAGAGCUCAGUAGUACCCGCCUGACUGUCUUCGGUUGGGGCGACCACGGGGGAAGACCAAUCCCCCACGAGGAACGGGACAAUUCCCGGCCCAGAGCCCAGAGCCCCCGCUCUAAGCAACAAAACCUUUGACCUUGCAGAUCCGGCAUAGCCGAUCUACGGACCAAGUUACUCUAGGGAUAACAGCGCAAUCUCCUUCCAGAGACCCUAUCGACGAGGAGGUUUACGACCUCGAUGUUGGAUCAGGACAUCCUAAUGGUGCAGCCGCUAUUAAGGGUUCGUUUGUUCAACGAUUAAAGUCCUACGUGAUCUG